UCCUACGGGAGGCAGCAGUGGGGAAUAUUGGGCAAUGGGCGAAAGCCUGACCCAGCAACGCCGCGUGAGGGAAGAAGGGUUUCGGCUCGUAAACCUCUGUCCUAUGGGACGAAGAAAGUGACGGUACCAUAGGAGGAAGCCCCGGCUAACUACGUGCCAGCAGCCGCGGUAAUA
Molecule: ribosomal RNA, 174 nt
Filed under: uncultured bacterium
Lineage: Bacteria
Description: partial 16S ribosomal RNA
Rfam family: Bacterial small subunit ribosomal RNA
Source: RNAcentral